This 375-nucleotide ribosomal RNA is filed under the name Bacillus tequilensis. RNAcentral's name for it is "bacterial SSU rRNA". It matches the Rfam family "Bacterial small subunit ribosomal RNA", at positions 1017 to 1393 of the family's 1533-position model. Lineage: Bacteria; Bacillati; Bacillota; Bacilli; Caryophanales; Bacillaceae. The record is from RNAcentral.
CCUUCGGGGGCAGAGUGACAGGUGGUGCAUGGUUGUCGUCAGCUCGUGUCGUGAGAUGUUGGGUUAAGUCCCGCAACGAGCGCAACCCUUGAUCUUAGUUGCCAGCAUUCAGUUGGGCACUCUAAGGUGACUGCCGGUGACAAACCGGAGGAAGGUGGGGAUGACGUCAAAUCAUCAUGCCCCUUAUGACCUGGGCUACACACGUGCUACAAUGGACAGAACAAAGGGCAGCGAAACCGCGAGGUUAAGCCAAUCCCACAAAUCUGUUCUCAGUUCGGAUCGCAGUCUGCAACUCGACUGCGUGAAGCUGGAAUCGCUAGUAAUCGCGGAUCAGCAUGCCGCGGUGAAUACGUUCCCGGGUCUUGUACACACCGA